Molecule: ribosomal RNA, 424 nt
Filed under: uncultured bacterium
Lineage: Bacteria
Description: bacterial SSU rRNA
Rfam family: Bacterial small subunit ribosomal RNA
Source: RNAcentral
GGGGAAUAUUGGACAAUGGGCGCAAGCCUGAUCCAGCAAUACCGCGUGUGUGAAGAAGGCCUUAGGGUUGUAAAGCACUUUCAAUGGGGAGGAAAAAGAGUAAGCUAAUACCUUGCUUAUUGACAUUACCCAUACAAGAAGCACCGGCUAACUCCGUGCCAGCAGCCGCGGUAAUACGGAGGGUGCAAGCGUUAAUCGGAAUUACUGGGCGUAAAGCGUGCGUAGGCGGCUCGUUAAGUCAGAUGUGAAAGCCCUGGGCUCAACCUGGGAACUGCAUUUGAAACUGGCGAGCUAGAGUUGAGUAGAGGUAAGUGGAAUUUCAGGUGUAGCGGUGAAAUGCGUAGAUAUCUGAAGGAACACCAGUGGCGAAGGCGACUUACUGGACUCAAACUGACGCUGAGGUACGAAAGCGUGGGUAGCAAAC